Molecule: transfer RNA, 75 nt
Filed under: Amedibacillus dolichus
Lineage: Bacteria; Bacillati; Bacillota; Erysipelotrichia; Erysipelotrichales; Erysipelotrichaceae
Also listed under: 2 other names
Description: tRNA-Glu
Rfam family: tRNA
About the family: Transfer RNA (tRNA) molecules are approximately 80 nucleotides in length.
Source: RNAcentral
GCCGCGUUCGGCAAGCGGUUAAGCCACAGCCCUCUCAAGGCUGUAUCACGGGUUCGAGUCCCGUACGCGGUACCA